ACCCAGCUAACGAGUUCUAAAAUAAGACGAAACACGCGUCCUGUAU
This is a non-coding RNA of Schistosoma curassoni, 46 nucleotides long. The record is from Rfam. NCBI's taxonomy places the organism in Eukaryota, Metazoa, Platyhelminthes, Trematoda, Strigeidida, Schistosomatidae.